CCCUGUUACUUUCCUCCCUGGGCAACCCACGUACGUGACCUCCCUCUCUCUCUCUCGUCUCCUCUUCCAUCUAAGCCGCCGCCACAAGCAUCGCCCAGCGGGAGAGGAGCUAGCUCCGUUCUCCCACGCAGCCACACCAACUUCGUCGCCACAAGAGAUGAGAGGGCCGGAGGAGAAGGCGGCGGCGGCGUUGGUUUCGAUCUGCGAUCUGCCUCGAUGUGGGAGGCGGCGGCGGUGGCGGCGGCGUUGGCUUCGAUCUGUGAUCUGCCUCGAUGUGGGAGGCGACGGAUCGAUUCGGUCGAAGUUGUUGUCGGAGGUGCUGGGUGGUAGGAGCACCACCCGACGGCCCUGGUGAACGACGAUGGGGCCACCUGAGGAGGGCGGCGAGUUUGUUGACGACUGCAACGAGAGCUCGUCGGAUCCGUCAUCGGCGUCGUUCUUCUGCUUGAGACAGCCGUCGUCUACGUGACCUCCUCGCCACCAUGUGUGGACGCUGGUGAGGCCAGCCUUCCCUCCAUGGCUCCACGACAGAUACUCCCCCUCUCCCCUCGGCUCCCUCUCCCUUACCCUAUCUCUCUUCCUGACCCUCUCUCCGUUAUACACAAAAAGAGCCGUGGUGGCAGCACAACAAAGUACAUAACUGGAUGCUAAAUAGGCAGAUUUAUCCAAUCCUCAUACUAGAUUGAAUUAAUGAAGCUGCAAUUCAUUACUUAUCUGAUCACUAUCAAAUAGAACUAGAUGUGAUGGAUUAAAUAUCCUUGCUGAACAACUAAUUACACUGGUUUAUUGACCGGUCUGCAAGAUUUGUCAUACCGAACAAGGAACACACGGCUGGAGAACAUGACAUGGAGGAUCUGGAUCCUGGCAAAUAAGAAGGAGAUGAGCUCUUUCUCUUGGAUCGUAACCUCCUUGUAUGAGAUUUUAUUGGGUUUGGUUUGUGUGAAUUAUGUACGUCAAUGCACAGGAAGGAUUUCAAGCCCAUGAUUUGUGGUUCUUGUUCUUUCCAAAUUGCCAUGAUUUUAACAAAAAAAUUGGUGUAGAUUCUAAUUUCUGUUGUAAGUGCAUGCCAUUUUUGGUUUUACAUGUUUAUUUAUAGCUUACAUCUCUUACUGAAAUUUGCAGGAUGAGAACUGAAGCAUGGAUCUGUACUAUGCUAUCUGGAUUUGUGACCUUAUUCAUGGAAACAGUGAAAAUAGCGAGUACCGGUCAUUAUUUGGUCCCAGUAUGCACAACUUAAUUUAAUUUUCAUUUUGCAAAUUCAAAGGUGGCUGAGGACUGUGAUUUUGUGGACCUACCAGUUCCUAGGAAAUUAAGAUCAUGUACUGAUUGCUGUCUCAUAAAACUAGGAACAUGGACAACUUUGUCCCUUUCUCUUUCCAUCUUUACCUAUUGAUUUGCUGAUUGCAUAGGAGCAUGUGUGGAAAAUGGUUUUCAAAUUUGAUGGCUAACCAAAAAUAUAUUUGUGUGUUUUACAAACUAAUAUACUAAUAUUUUUUAACAACAAAUCUAACUUAACCUGUCUCUGAAUGUAUUAUUGAUGUUAGUGUUUCUAACCUCGGGACAUUCACGCAUUGGAUGUUUUCUUAAGCCAUUGGCAGAGCACCAAAUUCACAUCUCAAUAUUGAGUCUCCUACUUUCAGGUUUUAGCCAUACACAAUCAUGCUGGUCGGACCGUUCCCUCGUCACUGAGGCAUGCCAAGAAGAGGCGACAUCUUUCAGCUAUAAGUGCUCAGAUUUUUCUGACGGGUCAUGAAACAAGAACCGAUGAGACCAUGAGUUGCAAACCUUCCUGAAAUUGUGUGCAAGACCUGAAGACCCAAUGGUCUGGUCUUUCCCAUUCUUGGCCAUUGGGAGGAAGCAGAGCAGCUGCCAACGGCCGGGAAGGUGGGGCGGUGGAUGAGAGGAAGCGGCUGCGAGCACGCACCGGCCGUGCACCUUGAGGGAGGAUUGGGUGGGAGGAGAGGUGGUGGCGGUAGUUUCAAUAUGUGAUCUGCCACCAGAGCCGCCACAAGGAUGGAUGACAAGAUCAGAGGUGAGCCCCCUCCGGUGCGCCGGCGUCGGUGAGGGUCCGGAGCACCACCAAGCCGUUCCACGGUCCGCCUCCGGCUUCUCUAAUCAGUUGUUGUCUGGUGAGCAUCGGUUUUGUCGCCUUUCAUCGAUCGAUCGUGUUGUUCAUCUUCCUUGCUGAGCCUUCUGCCUCGUUCGUCGUCAAGAUGUGUUUCUGCUAUUCUUCUGUGUGAUUUAGUGUUUUCGGUGUCCUUGGAUUCAUAUGUAUGUUGGUCGAUUCAUGCUGAUUAGGUGUUUGAUGCUAUGCCAUCCAUAUGGUGGUCUGGGAUUUUCGUUUUUUUUGUCAGAAAUCGCACGAGUGAGAUCAUUCUCGACUUUGAUUCGGCGUUCGGUGUACUGAGUGGAUCGUCUCUGCAGUUCAGAUGAGCAACAUCAUCUCUAUAACUGAAUACAAUAACGAAGCUGCAUUUGUUUUCAUGGAUGGCUCUUCUCUCAUCAGGCGGCACCAAAUUGGGUUGUCUGACAUGCUUUGCAAUGUUAGUGCUUGUCUGAAGCUUUUCGAGAAGCAUUUGUGUGUUCUCAUGCUCAGGAGUUACAAGGAGCAAUGGUGCUAUGGUCUUGAACUUCCACUGAUCUUCUACCGAAGAAUGAUCCUUAGCUUAGUUACUUAGUUUGAUGUCUUUUUUCGAGGAUAGGUUUGGAGUUGCAUCCGCUUUUGUCUAGGUUGGUACUUCGACCAGAAUUCACAUGACACUAUAUGCCAAGAUUAGUUCUUGUACUUCCUCUAAUGCAUGACUGAAUGGAAACGAUUGAUUUAUUUUUCUUAUAAUAUGUGAACCAUGUACUGCAUCAACACUCAAUGUAGAUCGUGCUUUCAA
This is an RNA transcript of Triticum aestivum (bread wheat), 2885 nucleotides long. RefSeq lists it as uncharacterized. Lineage: Eukaryota; Viridiplantae; Streptophyta; Magnoliopsida; Poales; Poaceae. The transcript has 5 exons. The record is from RefSeq and is a predicted model, not a curated record.